This 75-nucleotide transfer RNA is filed under the name Candidatus Harrisonbacteria bacterium RIFOXYD1_FULL_40_9. Its description in RNAcentral is "tRNA-Val". It matches the Rfam family "tRNA". Rfam says of the family: Transfer RNA (tRNA) molecules are approximately 80 nucleotides in length. Their secondary structure includes four short double-helical elements and three loops (D, anti-codon, and T loops). The record is from RNAcentral. Lineage: Bacteria; Candidatus Harrisoniibacteriota.
GCGCUUUUAGCUCAGUGGUAGAGCGUUUGCAUGACACGCAAAAGGUCGGAGGUUCGAUCCCUCCAAGGCGCACUA